UCCUCCAUAGUUCAGUCCGGUAGAACGGCGGACUGUUAAUCCGUAUGUCACUGGUUCGAGUCCAGUUGGAGGAGCCA
RNAcentral lists this transfer RNA (77 nucleotides) under Proteus vulgaris. RNAcentral describes it as "tRNA-Asn(gtt)". It matches the Rfam family "tRNA". From Rfam's summary of the family: Transfer RNA (tRNA) molecules are approximately 80 nucleotides in length. Their secondary structure includes four short double-helical elements and three loops (D, anti-codon, and T loops). The record is from RNAcentral. Lineage: Bacteria; Pseudomonadati; Pseudomonadota; Gammaproteobacteria; Enterobacterales; Morganellaceae.